RNAcentral lists this ribosomal RNA (466 nucleotides) under uncultured bacterium. RNAcentral's name for it is "partial 16S ribosomal RNA". It matches the Rfam family "Bacterial small subunit ribosomal RNA", at positions 29 to 507 of the family's 1533-position model. The record is from RNAcentral.
ACGAACGCUGGCGGCGUGCUUAACACAUGCAAGUCGAACGGAAAGGCCCUGCUUUUGUGGGGUGCUCGAGUGGCGAACGGGUGAGUAACACGUGAGUAACCUGCCUUGACUUUGGGAUAACUUCAGGAAACUGGGGCUAAUACCGGAUAGGAGCUCCUGCUGCAUGGUGGGGGUUGGAAAGUUUCGGCGGUUGGGGAUGGACUCGCGGCUUAUCAGCUUGUUGGUGGGGUAGUGGCUUACCAAGGCUUUGACGGGUAGCCGGCCUGAGAGGGUGACCGGCCACAUUGGGACUGAGAUACGGCCCAGACUCCUACGGGAGGCAGCAGUGGGGAAUAUUGCACAAUGGGCGGAAGCCUGAUGCAGCAACGCCGCGUGCGGGAUGACGGCCUUCGGGUUGUAAACCGCUUUCGCCUGUGACGAAGCGUGAGUGACGGUAAUGGGUAAAGAAGCACCGGCUAACUACGUG